This 377-nucleotide ribosomal RNA is filed under the name uncultured bacterium. RNAcentral's name for it is "bacterial SSU rRNA". It matches the Rfam family "Bacterial small subunit ribosomal RNA", at positions 790 to 1167 of the family's 1533-position model. The record is from RNAcentral.
GUAGUCCAUGCCGUAAACGAUGUCAACUAGCCGUUGGGGGAUUUGAUCCUUUAGUGGCGCAGCUAACGCGAUAAGUUGACCGCCUGGGGAGUACGGUCGCAAGACUAAAACUCAAAUGAAUUGACGGGGGCCCGCACAAGCGGUGGAGCAUGUGGUUUAAUUCGAUGCAACGCGAAGAACCUUACCUGGUCUUGACAUAGUGAGAAUCCUGCAGAGAUGCGGGAGUGCCUUCGGGAAUUCACAUACAGGUGCUGCAUGGCUGUCGUCAGCUCGUGUCGUGAGAUGUUGGGUUAAGUCCCGCAACGAGCGCAACCCUUUUCCUUAUUUGCCAGCACUUCGGGUGGGAACUCUAAGGAUACUGCCAGUGACAAACUGGA